RNAcentral lists this transfer RNA (68 nucleotides) under Anolis carolinensis (green anole). It matches the Rfam family "tRNA". From Rfam's summary of the family: Transfer RNA (tRNA) molecules are approximately 80 nucleotides in length. Their secondary structure includes four short double-helical elements and three loops (D, anti-codon, and T loops). Lineage: Eukaryota; Metazoa; Chordata; Lepidosauria; Squamata; Anolidae. The record is from Rfam by way of RNAcentral.
GCCAGAGUGGCAUAGUGAAGCAUUGGAUUAUGACUUUGGGGACCAGGGUUCAAAUCCCUGCUCAGUCA